RNAcentral lists this ribosomal RNA (430 nucleotides) under uncultured bacterium. RNAcentral's name for it is "bacterial SSU rRNA". It matches the Rfam family "Bacterial small subunit ribosomal RNA", at positions 354 to 776 of the family's 1533-position model. The record is from RNAcentral.
GUGAGGAAUUUUGCGCAAUGGGCGAAAGCCUGACGCAGCAACGCCGCGUGGAUGAUGAAGGUCUUCGGGUCGUAAAAUCCUGUCAGGUGGGAAGAAAUCGGGGAGGCGAAUACCCUCCCUGUCUGACUGUACCACCAGAGGAAGCCCCGGCUAACUCCGUGCCAGCAGCCGCGGUAAUACGGAGGGGGCAAGCGUUGUUCGGAAUUACUGGGCGUAAAGGGCGCGUAGGCGGUUGGGCGUGUCUAACGUGAAAGCCCUUGGCUUAACCAAGGAAGUGCGUUUUAUACUGCCCGACUCGAGUCCGGGAGAGGAGAGUGGAAUUCCCAGUGUAGCGGUGAAAUGCGUAGAUACUGGGAGGAACACCGGUGGCGAAGGCGGCUCUCUGGACCGGUACUGACGCUGAGGCGCGAAAGCUAGGGGAGCAAACAGG